Molecule: ribosomal RNA, 406 nt
Filed under: uncultured bacterium
Lineage: Bacteria
Description: partial 16S ribosomal RNA
Rfam family: Bacterial small subunit ribosomal RNA
Source: RNAcentral
AUUGAACGCUGGCGGCAGGCCUAACACAUGCAAGUCGAACGAGCGGCGGACGGGUGAGUAGUGUCUGGGGAACUGCCUGAUGGAGGGGGAUAACUACUGGAAACGGUAGCUAAUACCGCAUACCAUCAGAUGUGCCCAUAUGGGAUUAGCUAGUUGGUGGGGUAAAGGCUCACCAAGGCGACGAUCCCUAGCUGGUCUGAGAGGAUGACCAGCCACACUGGACCUGAGACACGGCCCAGACUCCUACGGGAGGCAGCAGUGGGGAAUAUUGCACAAUGGGCGCAAGCCUGAUGCAGCCAUGCCGCGUGUAUGAAGAAGGCCUUAGGGUUGUAAAGUACUUUCAGCGGGGAGGCGUUACCCGCAGAAGAAGCACCGGCUAACUCCGUGCCAGCAGCCGCGGUAAUAC